Molecule: non-coding RNA, 74 nt
Organism: Raphanus sativus (radish)
Lineage: Eukaryota; Viridiplantae; Streptophyta; Magnoliopsida; Brassicales; Brassicaceae
Source: the annotation of a RefSeq genome assembly
GGGGCGGUGGCGCAGUUGGCUAGCGCGUAGGUCUCAUAAUCCUGAGGUCGAGAGUUCGAGCCUCUCUCGCCCCA